CCCAUAGCUCAAAGGUGGAGCAGGGGACUCAUAAUCCUUUGGUUGCGGGUUCGAAUCCUGCUGGGCCC
This 68-nucleotide transfer RNA is filed under the name bovine gut metagenome. It matches the Rfam family "tRNA". Rfam says of the family: Transfer RNA (tRNA) molecules are approximately 80 nucleotides in length. Their secondary structure includes four short double-helical elements and three loops (D, anti-codon, and T loops). Further hydrogen bonds mediate the characteristic L-shaped molecular structure. tRNAs have two regions of fundamental functional importance: the anti-codon, which is responsible for specific mRNA codon recognition, and the 3' end, to which the tRNAs corresponding amino acid is attached (by aminoacyl-tRNA synthetases). tRNAs cope with the degeneracy of the genetic code in two manners: having more than one tRNA (with a specific anti-codon) for a particular amino acid; and 'wobble' base-pairing, i.e. permitting non-standard base-pairing at the 3rd anti-codon position. The record is from RNAcentral.